UCCUCGGUAGCUCAGUGGUAGAGCGAUCGACUGUUAAUCGAUUGGUCGCAAGUUCGAGCCUUGCCCGGGGAG
Molecule: transfer RNA, 72 nt
Filed under: Chamaesiphon minutus PCC 6605
Lineage: Bacteria; Bacillati; Cyanobacteriota; Cyanophyceae; Gomontiellales; Chamaesiphonaceae
Also listed under: 2 other names
Description: tRNA-Asn (GTT) (tRNA-Asn-GTT-1-1)
Rfam family: tRNA
About the family: Transfer RNA (tRNA) molecules are approximately 80 nucleotides in length. Their secondary structure includes four short double-helical elements and three loops (D, anti-codon, and T loops).
Source: Rfam by way of RNAcentral